This is a small nucleolar RNA of Pteronotus mesoamericanus, 132 nucleotides long. RefSeq annotates it as small nucleolar RNA SNORA70. The record is from RefSeq and is a predicted model, not a curated record. The transcript has a single exon. NCBI's taxonomy places the organism in Eukaryota, Metazoa, Chordata, Mammalia, Chiroptera, Mormoopidae.
UUAUAGUUAGGCUGACCAUGCUCUUUUCUCCAGUGGGAGCUCAGUGUGCAAUGGCUGCAAACAGCAGCAUCCUCAGUAGUGUAUGCAGCCUGUUGCUUGUAUGGGUUGCCCUAAGGGACCUUGGAGACAGCC